CAAAUAUUGGUGAAGUUGUUUGUAUUUUUGUUGCAGCUGUACUUGGAAUACCUGAUACCUUGGCUCCUGUCCAGUUGCUCUGGGUUAAUUUGGUUACCGAUGGAUUGCCUGCCACUGCAAUUGGUUUUAACAAGCAAGAUUCAGAUGUGAUGAAGGCUAAACCUCGCAAGGUGAAUGAAGCAGUUGUUAGUGGGUGGUUGUUUUUUCGCUAUUUGGUAAUUGGAGCCUAUGUUGGCCUUGCAACAGUUGCAGGUUUCGUAUGGUAGUUACUCUGACAGUGGUCCCAAACUACCAUACAAUGAAUUGAUGAAUUUUGACUCUUGCUCAACAAGGGAGACUACUUAUCCAUGCAGUAUAUUUGAGGAUAAACAUCCAUCAACCGUCUCCAUGACUGUGCUUGUCGUUGUUGAGAUGUUUAAUGCUUUGAACAAUCUCAGCGAAAAUCAAUCACUUUUUGUUGUCCCUCCCUGGAGUAAUUUAUGGCUUGUUGGUUCCAUCAUCCUGACUAUGAUGUUUCACAUGCUAAUUUUGUAUGUGCAUCCCCUUUCUGUUCUCUUCUCUGUAACACCGUUAUCUUGGGCUGAGUGGACUGUUGUUCUAUAUCUUUCAUUCCCUGUUAUAAUUAUUGAUGAAAUCCUGAAGUUCUUCUCAAGAAAUUCCAAUGGCAUAAGGUUGAGAUUCAGAUUCAGAAGGCCUGAUUUACUUCCAAAGAGGGAAUUGCGGGACAAGUAAGAAGGAAGCCUUGUGUGAUUGAAUUUUUCGCGGACACUCAAACACUUAAAAGACACAAGAUAAAUACAUCAAUGGAUAACAAACUUCGAUUUAUCUGCAAGAUGGAAGUUAUCUGAGGUACCCUGCACAAAUUCUGAUUUCACUUAAAUUAAUUGCCUACCUCGUUAUAGGUGCCAUACGAUGUUGUAUGAUGAAGCCAAGACGCCUGGUUAUGCUGGAAGUUUUUGCCAUCAUUCUUUUGUUUUAUAUUGACCUCAAAAAU
RNAcentral lists this unclassified non-coding RNA (994 nucleotides) under Hevea brasiliensis (rubber tree). Lineage: Eukaryota; Viridiplantae; Streptophyta; Magnoliopsida; Malpighiales; Euphorbiaceae. The record is from RNAcentral.